This 468-nucleotide ribosomal RNA is filed under the name uncultured bacterium. Its description in RNAcentral is "partial 16S ribosomal RNA". It matches the Rfam family "Bacterial small subunit ribosomal RNA", at positions 28 to 507 of the family's 1533-position model. The record is from RNAcentral.
GACGAACGCUGGCGGCGUGCUUAACACAUGCAAGUCGAACGGAAAGGCCCUGCUUUUGUGGGGUGCUCGAGUGGCGAACGGGUGAGUAACACGUGAGUAACCUGCCCUUGUCUUUGGGAUAACUUCAGGAAACUGGGGCUAAUACCGGAUAGGAGCUCCUGCUGCAUGGUGGGGGUUGGAAAGUUUCGGCGGUUGUGGAUGGACUGGCGGCUUAUCAGCUGGUUGGUGGGGUAGUGGCUGACGAAGUCUUUGACGGGUAGCCGGCCUGGGAGGUUGACCGGGCUCCAUGGGCCUGCGGUACGGACCAGUCGCGUACGGGCGGCAACAGUGGAGAAUAUUACGGAGUGGGCGGGAGCCUGAUGCGGCAGCGCCGCGUGCGUGAUGCCGGCUUUCGGGGUAUAAACCGAUGUCGACUGAGACGAGGCGUGAGUGACGGUAGCUGGUAAGAAAGCAACGGCUAACUACGUG